CUACGGGUCGCUGCAGUGGGGAAUAUUGCACAAUGGGCGAAAGCCUGAUGCAGCAACGCCGCGUGAGGGACGACGGCCUUCGGGUUGUAGACCUCUUUUAGCAGGGAAGAAGCGAAAGUGACGGUACCUGCAGAAAAAGCACCGGCUAACUACGUGCCAGCAGCCGCGGUAAUACGUAGGGUGCAAGCGUUGUCCGGAAUUAUUGGGCGUAAAGAGCUCGUAGGCGGUUUGUCGCGUCUGCUGUGAAAAUCCGAGGCUCAACCUCGGACCUGCAGUGGGUACGGGCAAACUAGAGUGCGGUAGGGGAGAUUGGAAUUCCUGGUGUAGCGGUGGAAUGCGCAGAUAUCAGGAGGAACACCAAUGGCGAAGGCAGAUCUCUGGGCCGUAACUGACGCUGAGGAGCGAAAGCGUGGGGAGCGAACAGGAUUAGAUACCCCCGUAGUC
RNAcentral lists this ribosomal RNA (444 nucleotides) under uncultured bacterium. Its description in RNAcentral is "partial 16S ribosomal RNA". It matches the Rfam family "Bacterial small subunit ribosomal RNA", at positions 339 to 795 of the family's 1533-position model. The record is from RNAcentral.